Molecule: ribosomal RNA, 468 nt
Filed under: uncultured bacterium
Lineage: Bacteria
Description: partial 16S ribosomal RNA
Rfam family: Bacterial small subunit ribosomal RNA
Source: RNAcentral
GACGAACGCUGGCGGCGUGCUUAACACAUGCAGGUCGAACGGAAAGGCCCUGCUUUUGUGGGGUGCUCGAGUGGCGAACGGGUGAGUAACACGUGAGUAACCUGCCCUUGACUUUGGGAUAACUUCAGGAAACUGGGGCUAAUACCGGAUAGGAGCUCCUGCUGCAUGGUGGGGGUUGGAAAGUUUCGGCGGUUGGGGAUGGACUCGCGGCUUAUCAGCUUGUUGGUGGGGUAGUGGCUUACCAAGGCUUUGACGGGUAGCCGGCCUGAGAGGGUGACCGGCCACAUUGGGACUGAGAUACGGCCCAGACUCCUACGGGAGGCAGCAGUGGGGAAUAUUGCACAAUGGGCGGAAGCCUGAUGCAGCAACGCCGCGUGCGGGAUGACGGCCUUCGGGUUGUAAACCGCUUUCGCCUGUGACGAAACGUGAGUGACGGUAAUGGGUACAGAAGCACCGGCUAACUACGUG